UACGGAGGGUUCAAGCGUUAUCCGGAUUCACUGGGUUUAAAGGGUGCGUAGGCGGGCAUUUAAGUCAGUGGUGAAAUACCUGAGCUUAACUUGGGAACUGCCAUUGAUACUAUUUGUCUUGAAUGUCGUGGAGGUUAGCGGAAUAUGUCAUGUAGCGGUGAAAUGCUUAGAUAUGACAUAGAACACCUAUUGCGAAGGCAGCUAACUACGCGAAUAUUGACGCUGAGGCACGAAAGCGUGGGGAUCAAACAGG
RNAcentral lists this ribosomal RNA (253 nucleotides) under uncultured bacterium. RNAcentral's name for it is "partial 16S ribosomal RNA". It matches the Rfam family "Bacterial small subunit ribosomal RNA", at positions 524 to 776 of the family's 1533-position model. The record is from RNAcentral.